AUAUUAGAGCACCAUUAUCCCUGUUGCUUAUGGGUGUUGCUUAGGUUAAUUGUGAUUAAAAAUAAAUGGAAAUUACAUAUUAAUAGCGGCAACGUUGCUUAAUUAAGGGAAGAAAGCGACGACGCUUAUGGGACACGCGUCCACCUUUCACGGUUUCUUCUCUCUCUCUUCUCUCUUUCUGUAUCGGCUUGAAAAAAAAAAAUCAGAGAGUUGCGAUUGAUCUCUCCGGCUUCGUUCUUCACCUCUCUUCGCGAUGAAUUAGUCGGCGACGUGUAUCGACUCUGCGCCUUCCUUUCGCCUCUCCGCCUCCGCCUCCUUUUCGCCUUUCCGCUUCUCCGCCUCUCUUGCGCCUCUCCUCUCCGUCUGUCUUUCACGAGAUAACGUCGACGAUGAAGCACUGGGCGUCUCUCUCGGUUGAUCUUCUCGACGGACCUCGCUCGAUGCAUCUCUCCUCAAAUCGAAAGGCGGAGCUUCACGUGAAGUUAACAGAGACGAGGAGUGGUUGUCUUCUAUCACGGCAGGGUCAGUAGUCAGGAGGAGUAGUCAUGUUGUUGUCUUCAGUUUUAAAUUUUUUUAAAAUCCCUAAUAUAAGCAACUUGCAAUGGAGGAGGAAAAUUAUCAAGUUGCUUAGUUAAGUUGCUUACUAAAAAAAAUUCUUAAAAACCAAUAUUAUAUAAUUAAGCAACCCAUAAUCAGUUGUUGGGAUAAUGGUGCUCUUAGCUCUUCUACAAUCGAAAAGCCAGGUUUAGCAUAAGUUGGAGGAUUUGAGAUUCUGCAGCCGGAUCAGUUAUUUUGGGUAUCAUUUGAAAUUUCAGUCCCGAUUAUUUUCUGGUAAUCUUUGAUUUGGAUUAAUUCCAAUAACAAAACUAAAACCGGGAAACUAUUGGUUUUGGUUCAUCUUUACUUGGAUAAUUCAAUUAAAUUAUUGGAUAGUUUGGGUGAUUUGGAUAUAUAUAAUUUUAAUCGUUUUGAAUUAAACUUUUCUGAUAUUUUUAAAAGAAGAAUUGAAUAUUUCAAAAUUUUGGAUAAUUUUGUAUACAAAUAUUCGAUUUUGCAGAAUAUAUUUUGAAUUUUUGGAUGUUUAUUUAAUUUUUUUUAUUUUGUUUCAAGUUCAAUUUAAAUAUUUUGAAUAUAAAAUUUUAUGAUUAUUUGGACAAAAUUUAUGAUUAUCAGUCAAUAUUCUUUUUUCGGUUCAUUUUUUUGGUUCGGGAAAAUAAUUACGCCUAAUUGGGCUAAUUAUAUAAAUUAUUUUUUGUGUGUAAACAAAUCUACUUGUUAAUCUUAGCGUGUAACCAAAGGUCUGCAUGCAGUUAUACGUGUGCACACUAGUGGUUAUUAAACCUUUGUACUAAGUAUUAACAUUGAGAAGGUCCUUUUCCUGCGAGAUAUACAAUACAAGUGUUUUGUUAUGGGUUUCGAAAUGAAAAAUAGAGCUAAGUGAUGAAAGAUAAAAAAAACUCACUUCUCUUUAGCUUUUUUCCUAAUAAGUAUAGCUUUGAUGUAACAACACCCGAAAGGAUCAACAGGAUGGCUAAAUGACGAAACACAUGCCACUAUGCCAGAGAUCAAAGGGUUAUCAAGAAGUAGUCAAAGUAAAUGGUAAAAAGCAAGAAGAGAAGUGUUUGUUUCUUAGUUACCUCAAAUAGUUUUUUUUCUUACGUUGAACAUCACGUACAAUAACAUAGCUUCCACGGCCACAACUGACAAAAGCUCCAUUUGGUGUACUUUUGGGCAAGAUGCAAAAACCUAGUGAUGAACACGGAUUUCUAACAUAGGUUAUGAAUUGAGACUUAAAGCAUACCAUGAGCUCUGAACUCAAUGCUUCUAACAAACGCAUGAUAAAGCCCUCCACUUGUGAGACCUUGGUCCUUGGAUGUACCAAAAUGUAUAUCUGUCAAAGAGGAUAUGUAUAUACAUACAGUGAGAAGUUACCAGCUUAUCACUUUCUAUAGAUUCCACAUUUCCGCAGCUUGGACGGUGAUUUUGAGAAAAAAUGGUGAUUUUGAGAAACAAAAUCAUUUUGUUCAUGGAAUUGUGUUACUUGGGACCACUGAGAAAAUGGGCUAAAUAGAUCUUAUGAUCAAAGACCCAAUUUCUUUCUUUAGUGUUUUAUUUUUAGAAAUACAUUUUCUAAUUUUCUUUGAAAAUAGUUGAAACUGUCUGUUAUAAAAUUAGCACUGUUAACCUAUAUCGACAUAUGCCCAGAUGAAUAACUAACACUCGAGAGCUAAAUCAAUGCUUUCUAACCAAACAUUUGCAAACACUAUGAUUCACUUUACGAUUUAAAACUAGCUUGAAUGAUCUUCUGUCCCAUUUACAAUUUACAACUUAUUUUCCUCAUAAACAUUGACUUUGUUAAACCAUCUCUAACACUUCUAUAUUUUUCAAAAAUAGAGAAUUGAUAUUAUAAUGAUAUAUAAAAAAAAAAUUGUACUAGAAAUAAAAAUAAAAGAGGUAAAAAAAUAAUUUCCUAUAUUUUUUAAAAGAAAAAUAUAAUGAUAUACACUUUCUCUAAAGCUUUUAUUUAGUGUUCUGAGAUUUUUUUACAGCAAAAUAAAUUAAAGUCAAAGCUAAAAAUUUUAAACCUACAUUUUAGAGCAAAAAAUAGAAAGCUACAGUUUCAACCAAUCAAACCCAUAGAUCCAGGUUUAACCCUUUAAAAUUACCAAAAAUAAAUAAAUAAUGGAAGCUUUGUAUAAAAUUGAACUGUGUGAAUCUGUGAUUGUGAAUACGCCAGUUUUUCUCCAUCCCCAACCCGGCCUUUAGAUACAAAGUCAACCAAGCAUGGGUUUGUAACCUUAAUAGAUUAAUUAUAUUUGAGGCCCAAGUCUAAAUGAAAACAACACAGAUCCAAUGGUAGGACGUUACAGACGUCAAGUUCGACUUCCACCUUUCACUACAGAUUUUUCUUUGAAAGAUAUAUUUAAAUAGUUAUUACUGGACCCAAAAAUUAGUAGUGUCCUUUCAAUUGAUGCAUCCUGCAAAGAGCUGGGGAGCCAGUUUAUGAUUUCAUCCCAGAGAUUUGUCGGAGAUGCAUGAAAAUAAUGUUUCUCAAAGAACAAUGCUCAUAU
Long non-coding RNA from Brassica rapa (field mustard), 3071 nucleotides. RefSeq lists it as uncharacterized. The record is from RefSeq and is a predicted model, not a curated record. Lineage: Eukaryota; Viridiplantae; Streptophyta; Magnoliopsida; Brassicales; Brassicaceae.